RNAcentral lists this ribosomal RNA (2902 nucleotides) under Escherichia coli. RNAcentral describes it as "23S ribosomal RNA". It matches the Rfam family "Bacterial large subunit ribosomal RNA". Lineage: Bacteria; Pseudomonadati; Pseudomonadota; Gammaproteobacteria; Enterobacterales; Enterobacteriaceae. The record is from RNAcentral.
GGUUAAGCGACUAAGCGUACACGGUGGAUGCCCUGGCAGUCAGAGGCGAUGAAGGACGUGCUAAUCUGCGAUAAGCGUCGGUAAGGUGAUAUGAACCGUUAUAACCGGCGAUUUCCGAAUGGGGAAACCCAGUGUGAUUCGUCACACUAUCAUUAACUGAAUCCAUAGGUUAAUGAGGCGAACCGGGGGAACUGAAACAUCUAAGUACCCCGAGGAAAAGAAAUCAACCGAGAUUCCCCCAGUAGCGGCGAGCGAACGGGGAGCAGCCCAGAGCCUGAAUCAGUGUGUGUGUUAGUGGAAGCGUCUGGAAAGGCGUGCGAUACAGGGUGACAGCCCCGUACACAAAAAUGCACAUAUUGUGAGCUCGAUGAGUAGGGCGGGACACGUGGUAUCCUGUCUGAAUAUGGGGGGACCAUCCUCCAAGGCUAAAUACUCCUGACUGACCGAUAGUGAACCAGUACCGUGAGGGAAAGGCGAAAAGAACCCCGGCGAGGGGAGUGAAAAAGAACCUGAAACCGUGUACGUACAAGCAGUGGGAGCACGCUUAGGCGUGUGACUGCGUACCUUUUGUAUAAUGGGUCAGCGACUUAUAUUCUGUAGCAAGGUUAACCGAAUAGGGGAGCCGAAGGGAAACCGAGUCUUAACUGGGCGUUAAGUUGCAGGGUAUAGACCCGAAACCCGGUGAUCUAGCCAUGGGCAGGUUGAAGGUUGGGUAACACUAACUGGAGGACCGAACCGACUAAUGUUGAAAAAUUAGCGGAUGACUUGUGGCUGGGGGUGAAAGGCCAAUCAAACCGGGAGAUAGCUGGUUCUCCCCGAAAGCUAUUUAGGUAGCGCCUCGUGAAUUCAUCUCCGGGGGUAGAGCACUGUUUCGGCAAGGGGGUCAUCCCGACUUACCAACCCGAUGCAAACUGCGAAUACCGGAGAAUGUUAUCACGGGAGACACACGGCGGGUGCUAACGUCCGUCGUGAAGAGGGAAACAACCCAGACCGCCAGCUAAGGUCCCAAAGUCAUGGUUAAGUGGGAAACGAUGUGGGAAGGCCCAGACAGCCAGGAUGUUGGCUUAGAAGCAGCCAUCAUUUAAAGAAAGCGUAAUAGCUCACUGGUCGAGUCGGCCUGCGCGGAAGAUGUAACGGGGCUAAACCAUGCACCGAAGCUGCGGCAGCGACGCUUAUGCGUUGUUGGGUAGGGGAGCGUUCUGUAAGCCUGCGAAGGUGUGCUGUGAGGCAUGCUGGAGGUAUCAGAAGUGCGAAUGCUGACAUAAGUAACGAUAAAGCGGGUGAAAAGCCCGCUCGCCGGAAGACCAAGGGUUCCUGUCCAACGUUAAUCGGGGCAGGGUGAGUCGACCCCUAAGGCGAGGCCGAAAGGCGUAGUCGAUGGGAAACAGGUUAAUAUUCCUGUACUUGGUGUUACUGCGAAGGGGGACGGAGAAGGCUAUGUUGGCCGGGCGACGGUUGUCCCGGUUUAAGCGUGUAGGCUGGUUUUCCAGGCAAAUCCGGAAAAUCAAGGCUGAGGCGUGAUGACGAGGCACUACGGUGCUGAAGCAACAAAUGCCCUGCUUCCAGGAAAAGCCUCUAAGCAUCAGGUAACAUCAAAUCGUACCCCAAACCGACACAGGUGGUCAGGUAGAGAAUACCAAGGCGCUUGAGAGAACUCGGGUGAAGGAACUAGGCAAAAUGGUGCCGUAACUUCGGGAGAAGGCACGCUGAUAUGUAGGUGAAGUCCCUCGCGGAUGGAGCUGAAAUCAGUCGAAGAUACCAGCUGGCUGCAACUGUUUAUUAAAAACACAGCACUGUGCAAACACGAAAGUGGACGUAUACGGUGUGACGCCUGCCCGGUGCCGGAAGGUUAAUUGAUGGGGUUAGCGCAAGCGAAGCUCUUGAUCGAAGCCCCGGUAAACGGCGGCCGUAACUAUAACGGUCCUAAGGUAGCGAAAUUCCUUGUCGGGUAAGUUCCGACCUGCACGAAUGGCGUAAUGAUGGCCAGGCUGUCUCCACCCGAGACUCAGUGAAAUUGAACUCGCUGUGAAGAUGCAGUGUACCCGCGGCAAGACGGAAAGACCCCGUGAACCUUUACUAUAGCUUGACACUGAACAUUGAGCCUUGAUGUGUAGGAUAGGUGGGAGGCUUGGAAGUGUGGACGCCAGUCUGCAUGGAGCCGACCUUGAAAUACCACCCUUUAAUGUUUGAUGUUCUAACGUUGACCCGUAAUCCGGGUUGCGGACAGUGUCUGGUGGGUAGUUUGACUGGGGCGGUCUCCUCCUAAAGAGUAACGGAGGAGCACGAAGGUUGGCUAAUCCUGGUCGGACAUCAGGAGGUUAGUGCAAUGGCAUAAGCCAGCUUGACUGCGAGCGUGACGGCGCGAGCAGGUGCGAAAGCAGGUCAUAGUGAUCCGGUGGUUCUGAAUGGAAGGGCCAUCGCUCAACGGAUAAAAGGUACUCCGGGGAUAACAGGCUGAUACCGCCCAAGAGUUCAUAUCGACGGCGGUGUUUGGCACCUCGAUGUCGGCUCAUCACAUCCUGGGGCUGAAGUAGGUCCCAAGGGUAUGGCUGUUCGCCAUUUAAAGUGGUACGCGAGCUGGGUUUAGAACGUCGUGAGACAGUUCGGUCCCUAUCUGCCGUGGGCGCUGGAGAACUGAGGGGGCUGCUCCUAGUACGAGAGGACCGGAGUGGACGCAUCACUGGUGUUCGGGUUGUCAUGCCAAUGGCACUGCCCGGUAGCUAAAUGCGGAAGAGAUAAGUGCUGAAAGCAUCUAAGCACGAAACUUGCCCCGAGAUGAGUUCUCCCUGACUCCUUGAGAGUCCUGAAGGAACGUUGAAGACGACGACGUUGAUAGGCCGGGUGUGUAAGCGCAGCGAUGCGUUGAGCUAACCGGUACUAAUGAACCGUGAGGCUUAACCUU